GAUGAAGAACGCAGCGAAAUGCGAUAAUUAAUGUGAAUUGCAGAAUUUAGUGAAUCAUCGAAUCUUUGAACGCACAUUGCGCCCCUUGGUAUUCCGGGGGGCAUGCCUGUCCGAGCGUCAUUGCUGCCCUCAAGCACGGCUUGUGUGUUGGGCCCCCGUCCCCGGUUCUCCCCGGGGACGGGCCCGAAAGGCAGCGGCGGCACCGCGUCCGAUCCUCGAGCGUAUGGGGCUUUGUCACCCGCUCUGUAGGCCCGGCCGGCGCCAGCCGACACCCCAACUUUAUUUUCUAAGGUUGACCUCGGAUCAGGUAGGGAUACCCGCUGAACUUAAGCAUAUCAAUAAGCGGAGGA
Molecule: unclassified non-coding RNA, 350 nt
Filed under: soil metagenome
Description: partial contains 5.8S ribosomal RNA, internal transcribed spacer 2, and large subunit ribosomal RNA
Rfam family: 5.8S ribosomal RNA (bases 1-120)
Source: RNAcentral